This 588-nucleotide ribosomal RNA is filed under the name uncultured bacterium. RNAcentral's name for it is "partial 16S ribosomal RNA". It matches the Rfam family "Bacterial small subunit ribosomal RNA", at positions 355 to 1375 of the family's 1533-position model. The record is from RNAcentral.
UGGGGAAUUUUGGACAAUGGGCGAAAGCCUGAUCCAGCAAUGCCGCGUGUGUGAAGAAGGCCUUCGGGUUGUAAAGCACUUUUGUCCGGAAAGAAAUCCUUGGCUCUAAUACAGUCGGGGGAUGACGGUACCGGAAGAAUAAGCACCGGCUAACUACGUGCCAGCAGCCGCGGUAAUACGUAGGGUGCAAGCGUUAAUCGGAAUUACUGGGCGUAAAGCGUGCGCAGGCGGUUUGCUAAGACCGAUGUGAAAUCCCCGGGCUCAACCUGGGAACUGCAUUGGUGACUGGCAGGCUAGAGUAUGGCAGAGGGGGGUAGAAUUCCACGUGUAGCAGUGAAAUGCGUAGAGAUGUGGAGGAAUACCGAUGGCGAAGGCAGCCCCCUGGGCCAAUACUGACGCUCAUGCACGAAAGCGUGGGGAGCAAAACAGGAUUAGAUACCCUGGUAGUCCACGCCCUAAAACGAUGUCAACUAGUUGUUGGGGAUUCAUUUCCUUAGUAACGUAGCUAACGCGUGAAGUUGACCGCCUGGGGAGUACGGUCGCAAGAUUAAAACUUCAAAGGAAUUGACGGGGUCAUAGCUGUUUCCU